CUGGGCCGCCUGCAGCGGAGCGCGCGAACUUAACCACUCGGCCACGGGACCAGCCCCGAUCUUUUCCUAUUCUUAUAUUUCAUUUUUUAAAGAAAUAAAUGGACCAUCUAAACGUUAAAAUUUAUCUUAAUACAUCCUACAGAAAACGUGCCUGCUUCUAGAGCUCCAAGACAAUCUGCACACAGAAGACAGUAACAACCGCUGUGGAUCACAAGGGGCAGCAGUGAUCAUCCAUGUCCUGGAUGUCUCCUGACUUGGACUGGCAGUACCACAUUAAGUUUGUUCACAGAACAAUGCUUUGGCUGUGAUGUCCUGAGCAAGGAAUGACCUGCAUCAGGGAUGGAACAAGUGCAGCAGAGACAGGCC
RNAcentral lists this long non-coding RNA (366 nucleotides) under Equus caballus (horse). Its description in RNAcentral is "lncRNA (ENSECAG00000057234.1)". The record is from RNAcentral. Lineage: Eukaryota; Metazoa; Chordata; Mammalia; Perissodactyla; Equidae.